Long non-coding RNA from Piliocolobus tephrosceles (Ugandan red Colobus), 1019 nucleotides. RefSeq lists it as uncharacterized. The transcript has 3 exons. Lineage: Eukaryota; Metazoa; Chordata; Mammalia; Primates; Cercopithecidae. The record is from RefSeq and is a predicted model, not a curated record.
CAUGGUGCCUUUCUCUCUAGCAGACCAAAUUUGUGGCCAGGUUUAUCAUGUCUCAUUGCUCUUGUGUUUUUAUAAAGAGCCUGUAAGCCAAUGAGAGAGACUGCCUAGGAGAGGGAGGGUUGCUCCGAGGCCAUCUGUAGACCUUGUAAGAAAUUCCAGGACCUGGAAGAGAUGGGAUUUUGCCAUGUGGCCCAGGUGAUCCUCCAGUCUCAACCUCCUUCCCAAAGUGGUGAGAUUACACGCAUUAGCCACGGUGCCUGAACAGGUUAAACUGGUCCAACCAUAUUCCAUGGGUGAGGCAUUUAAUACCAUUUUAAAAUGAAUUAAUGGAAUGAUUGAUGGAUAUAAGAUGCGUGAGGCUGGAUUCUGAGAGAGCAGCAAUUUCAGGUUCUCGUUCUUGGAGGAAACGGCCCACCACCAAUCUCUUGGCCAAACACAGCACGUGAAUAGCCCUGCUGCGCACAGUCCUGGAGGGCUGACCCCUCUCAGCACACAGGGGCAGCUGCAGAUUCAGGCCCUACAGGCACUCAGUUUGCCCUGAAACACGUGAAAAACCUGCCUCUCCCUUUGAUAUCCUUUCACCCCCUCAGUCUUGGGUGCAGACUUGGCCUCAUGUCACUGCUGCUUUAGGAAAUUCUGGAAAUCUUAGUUUCCUGGUGGUUAAAAGGGGUAGAUGGUAUUACAAGAUCGCCAGGUCCCUGGCCUCCCCAAGUGUAGGAAUAUUGGCUUCCAAGUCCACCCGCCCCUCUGUGGCUCUUUCAGUGUUGCCUUAUCUUCCCCUCGCACACCUCUCCAGGCACCUACCUGGUACCUCCGGUUUUCCUCUGAUGCUCAGGAGCCCCUCCUUACCGGCCCUCUGUGGAGACCCACAUUCAAGACCAUCCAGAGAAUCAUCCAAGCACAUGAGAAAACAGAGAGUCUUGAGUUCAAAACCAUCAGCAUUGCAAACAAGAUGGCUUAAAAAAAUUGUUGGUUUUCCCAUUUGCUAUCCCCCUUAUGCAAUCACAUCUUUUUCUUUG